RNAcentral lists this ribosomal RNA (964 nucleotides) under uncultured bacterium. RNAcentral describes it as "bacterial SSU rRNA". It matches the Rfam family "Bacterial small subunit ribosomal RNA", at positions 523 to 1482 of the family's 1533-position model. The record is from RNAcentral.
AUACGUAGGGUGCAAGCGUUAUCCGGAAUUAUUGGGCGUAAAGGGCUCGUAGGCGGUUCGUCGCGUCCGGUGUGAAAGUCCAUCGCUUAACGGUGGAUCCGCGCCGGGUACGGGCGGGCUUGAGUGCGGUAGGGGAGACUGGAAUUCCCGGUGUAACGGUGGAAUGUGUAGAUAUCGGGAAGAACACCAAUGGCGAAGGCAGGUCUCUGGGCCGUUACUGACGCUGAGGAGCGAAAGCGUGGGGAGCGAACAGGAUUAGAUACCCUGGUAGUCCACGCCGUAAACGGUGGAUGCUGGAUGUGGGGCCCGUUCCACGGGUUCCGUGUCGGAGCUAACGCGUUAAGCAUCCCGCCUGGGGAGUACGGCCGCAAGGCUAAAACUCAAAGAAAUUGACGGGGGCCCGCACAAGCGGCGGAGCAUGCGGAUUAAUUCGAUGCAACGCGAAGAACCUUACCUGGGCUUGACAUGUUCCCGACGAUCCCAGAGAUGGGGUUUCCCUUCGGGGCGGGUUCACAGGUGGUGCAUGGUCGUCGUCAGCUCGUGUCGUGAGAUGUUGGGUUAAGUCCCGCAACGAGCGCAACCCUCGCCCCGUGUUGCCAGCGGAUUGUGCCGGGAACUCACGGGGGACCGCCGGGGUUAACUCGGAGGAAGGUGGGGAUGACGUCAGAUCAUCAUGCCCCUUACGUCCAGGGCUUCACGCAUGCUACAAUGGCCGGUACAACGGGAUGCGACAGCGCGAGCUGGAGCGGAUCCCUGAAAACCGGUCUCAGUUCGGAUCGCAGUCUGCAACUCGACUGCGUGAAGGCGGAGUCGCUAGUAAUCGCGAAUCAGCAACGUCGCGGUGAAUGCGUUCCCGGGCCUUGUACACACCGCCCGUCAAGUCAUGAAAGUGGGCAGCACCCGAAGCCGGUGGCCUAACCCCUGCGGGAGGGAGCCGUCUAAGGUGAGGCUCGUGAUUGGGACU